UUAUGGCUCAGGACGAACGCUGGCGGCGUGCUUCAUACAUGCAAGUCGAACGAGAAGCUGACUUCGGUCAGUGGAAAGUGGCGGACGGGUGAGUAAUAUGUAGAGAAUCUGCCCUUGAGUGGGGGACAACAGAGGGAAACUUCUGCUAAUACCCCAUAUGAGCUAACUUGAAAUAGUUAUCUUGAAAACUCCGGUGCUCAAGGAUGAGUCUGCAUCUGAUUAGCUAGUUGGCGGUGUAAUGGACCACCAAGGCGACGAUCAGUAGCUGGUUUGAGAGGAUGAUCAGCCACAAUGGGACUGAGACACGGCCCAUACUCCUACGGGAGGCAGCAGUAGGGAAUUUUGCGCAAUGGGCGAAAGCCCUGACGCAGCAACGCCGCGUGAACGAUUAAGCCCUUCGGGGUGUAAAGUUCUGUCAGUAGGGACGAAUUUUGACGGUACCUACAGAGGAAGCACCGGCUAACUCCGUGCCAGCCGCGGC
RNAcentral lists this ribosomal RNA (481 nucleotides) under uncultured bacterium. RNAcentral's name for it is "bacterial SSU rRNA". It matches the Rfam family "Bacterial small subunit ribosomal RNA", at positions 17 to 518 of the family's 1533-position model. The record is from RNAcentral.